GAUGAACGCUGGCGGCGUGCUUAACACAUGCAAGUCGAACGGGAAACAUUUCAUUGAGGCUUCGGCGGAUUUGGUCUGUUUCUAGUGGCGGACGGGUGAGUAACGCGUGGGUAACCUGCCUUGUACUGGGGGAUAACAGCCAGAAAUGGCUGCUAAUACCGCAUAAGCGCACGGGACCGCAUGGUCCUGUGUGAAAAACUCCGGUGGUAUAAGAUGGACCCGCGUUGGAUUUGCUAGUUGGCAGGGCAGCGGCCUACCAAGGCGACGAUCCAUAGCCGGCCUGAGAGGGUGAACGGCCACAUUGGGACUGAGACACGGCCCAGACUCCUACGGGAGGCAGCAGUGGGGAAUAUUGCACAAUGGGGGAAACCCUGAUGCAGCGACGCCGCGUGAAGGAAGAAGUGUCUCGGUAUGUAAACUUCUAUCAGCAGGGAAGAUAAUGACGGUACCUGACUAAGAAGCCCCGGCUAACUACGUGCCAGCCGCCGCGGUAA
RNAcentral lists this ribosomal RNA (494 nucleotides) under uncultured bacterium. RNAcentral's name for it is "partial 16S ribosomal RNA". It matches the Rfam family "Bacterial small subunit ribosomal RNA", at positions 28 to 523 of the family's 1533-position model. The record is from RNAcentral.